This 424-nucleotide ribosomal RNA is filed under the name uncultured prokaryote. RNAcentral's name for it is "bacterial SSU rRNA". It matches the Rfam family "Bacterial small subunit ribosomal RNA", at positions 355 to 796 of the family's 1533-position model. The record is from RNAcentral.
UGGGGAAUAUUGGACAAUGGGCGCAAGCCUGAUCCAGCCAUGCCGCGUGAGUGAAGAAGGCCCUAGGGUUGUAAAACUCUUUCACCGGUGAAGAUAAUGACGGUAGCCGGAGAAGAAGCCCCGGCUAACUCCGUGCCAGCAGCCGCGGUAAUACGGAGGGGGUUAGCGUUGUUCGGAAUUACUGGGCGUAAAGCGCACGUAGGCGGAUCAGAAAGUUGGGGGUGAAAUCCCGGGGCUCAACCCCGGAACUGCCUCCAAAACUCUUGGUCUAGAGUUCGAGAGAGGUGAGUGGAAUUCCGAGUGUAGAGGUGAAAUUCGUAGAUAUUCGGAGGAACACCAGUGGCGAAGGCGGCUCACUGGCGCGAUACUGACGCUGAGGUGCGAAAGUGUGGGGAGCAAACAGGAUUAGAUACCCGGGUAGUCC